UGAAAAUGAUUCUAUCAUGAAAAUGUUUGCUGUAUAUUUUUGUUAUUACUUGUUUAUAAUCAUUGCUCUUUCUCAAAAAUCUUUUGGACGAAUUCAGUGUGGAAAUGGGGAAAUUAUUUCAUUGUCAAUGUUUAAGGACUGCCAUUUGGAAAUUCGUAGCAUCUUGGAGUUGAUAUGCAGUUUAUCUUCUCCGAACGCAGAAUUACAUAUUGCUGAUGUUUUACAAGAUAAAUUAAAUGCCACAGAAACACUUAUUUGUGGUUGUUGUACGAAUGCUUGUAGUUUAACAGAAUUAAGGAACUACUGCUGGUUGCAGAAUACUUAGCUGUGACCUUGUCAUGAAAUCUGGAUAUUUAUUUUCAAAUACAAUAGGUUAUUAGAAUGUUCUUGAAAGUUUUGUUUUAGCUGUAAAAUUUUCAUGAUUAUGUAUUUUUGUAUCCUUUUUCCAAAAUUAUACAUACAUUGUACGUUCAUAAAUUUACAAUAAUAGUGUUAAUUUCCCAGGUCAGCAUUAAUAUAAAUAAAAAUGCCAUAGGGUUAUCUUUGGUAUAGGGUUAUA
This is a long non-coding RNA of Mytilus californianus (California mussel), 559 nucleotides long. RefSeq lists it as uncharacterized. NCBI's taxonomy places the organism in Eukaryota, Metazoa, Mollusca, Bivalvia, Mytilida, Mytilidae. The transcript is spliced from 2 exons. The record is from RefSeq and is a predicted model, not a curated record.